UUGGUGAUCCAGACGGUCGCCCGACGAAGCCUUGCGCGAAGUUGGGAGGAAAGUCCGGGCUCCAUAGAGCAGGAGGGUUGCUAACGGCAACCGGGUGCGGGCCAAACCCGCAUCCAGGGACAGUGGCACAGAAAACAAACCGCCCGGCUUGCCUGCCUGGUUGCGACGAGGGCCCGAAACUCGCGCGGCUGGACGGGGUCUGAAAAGACCCGGGUAAGGGUGAAAAGGUGCGGUAAAAGCGCACCGCGGCGCUGGAGACAGUGCCGGCAGGCCAAACCCCCUCCGGAGCAAGGCCAAAUAGGGACCAAGAGGCUGCUCGCCUCAAUGCGAAUGUGUCGCGGGAGGUCCGGGUAGGCUGCUGGAGGCUUGUGGCAACGCAGGCCCUAGACGAAUGACCGUCAGCCGCAAGGCCGACAAAACCCGGCUUACAGGAUCAGCAAGACG
Molecule: RNase P RNA, 444 nt
Filed under: Planctomycetota bacterium
Lineage: Bacteria; Pseudomonadati; Planctomycetota
Description: RNase P RNA component class A
Rfam family: Bacterial RNase P class A
About the family: Ribonuclease P (RNase P) is a ubiquitous endoribonuclease, found in archaea, bacteria and eukarya as well as chloroplasts and mitochondria. Its best characterised activity is the generation of mature 5'-ends of tRNAs by cleaving the 5'-leader elements of precursor-tRNAs.
Source: RNAcentral